Molecule: ribosomal RNA, 1681 nt
Filed under: Alloteuthis sp. KG-2015
Lineage: Eukaryota; Metazoa; Mollusca; Cephalopoda; Myopsida; Loliginidae
Description: partial 18S ribosomal RNA
Rfam family: Eukaryotic small subunit ribosomal RNA (bases 275-1681)
Source: RNAcentral
GCUCGUAGUCCGAACUCGGGUUCGUGGUCGCUCGCGCGGCCCCGGGGCGGCGGCGCCAUCGUCCGUCGUUGACUUUGGUCGUCCGUUCGCAUUCCCGGCCCUUUCCGCCGGUGUCGACUGCCAUGUACAUCCGCCUCGCGGUCCUGCCGGCGGGAAUCUUUUGCGCGGUCGUCCGGGUUGGGGGUNGGCGUUUAUUUCGGGGGCGGUUCNGGNGGCGUCGCGNUNGGUCUCCNNCCGNCAGNUUNNUCUCNUNNUCNCCUUCUUNNCNCCUCUCUCCUCGCCUCACGUCGCCGUGCAAAGCUCUCGUCGUGCGCGCGUGUUUGCGGUCGGGCGGUUUCUCCUCCAAGGGUGCUCUUAACCGAGUGUCCGCGGCGGCCGGUACGUUCACUUUGAAAAAAUUAGAGUGCUCAGAGCGGGCUGUUCAAGCUUGCAUACGAUAAGCAUGGAAUGAUGGAAGAGGGCCUCGUCUACGUCUGUCGGUCUCCGUCUACGGCGAGGCAAUGAUCGAAGGGAGCGGUCGGGGCCACUCGUAUUGCGACGUUAGAGGUGAAAUUCUUGGAUCGUCGCAAGACGAACUGCAGCGAUGGCGUGUGGCAAGCACGUUUUCCUCGAUCAAGAGCGAAAGUCGGAGGUUCGAAGACGAUCAGAUACCGUCGUAGUUCCGACCGUAAACGAUGCCGACCGGCGAUCCGCCGGCGUUCGCUUCCAUGACCCGGCGGGUAGCCUGCGGGAAACCAGAGUUCGGUUCCGGGGGGAGUAUGGUUGCAAAGCUGAAACUUAAAGGAAUUGACGGAAGGNNNNNNCANCNGNGNNNGGAGCCUGCGGCUUAAUUUGACUCAACACGGGAAAACUCACNCCGGUCCGGACACCGGUAGGAUUGACAGAUCGAUAGCUCUUUCUCGAUUCGGUGGGUGGUGGUGCAUGGCCGUUCUUAGUUGGUGGAGCGAUCCGUCUGGUUGAUUCCGAUAACGAACGAGACUCCGGCCUGCUAACUAGUGCGCCGAUGUGUGUGCGUUUUUCGCUACGGCGGGCUCGGGCCGUGCGUGUUCGGUCGCGCGUUUGUCUCGUGCGUUUCUUUCUCGCGUUUUCGUUUUUUCGUUCGGUGGGUUUUGGGGGGCGGCAGGCGUGUCGGGAGGGCCUCGGUCUUUUCUUCGCGUCGGUCGUUUCUCUUCCGCCGGGCGGGGGAGCGGGGUGCGGGUUGGGGGCGUCGAUGGCGGCGAGCGGUCGUGCGUGCGGUUUCCGCCGGGUCCGGGUCGGUUUUCUCACGCACUUCUUAGAGGGACGGGUGGCAGAAAGCCACACGAGGCGGAGCGAUAACAGGUCUGUGAUGCCCUUAGAUGUCCGGGGCCGCACGCGCGCUACACUGGAGGUAUCAGCGGGGACUUCGCCCCGGCCCGAGAGGGCUGGGAAACCUCUCAACCACCUCCCGUGAUAGGGAUCGGGGCCUGUAACCAACCCCGUGAACGAGGAAUUCCCGGUAGGCGCGGGUCAACAGCCCGCGUCGAUCACGUCCCUGCCCUUUGUACACACCGCCCGUCGCUACUACCGAUCGAACGGUCCGGUGAGGUCCUCGGAUCUGGCCGACGACGCCGCCGGGCUGCCUGGUGUCCUUUCGGGGUCGCUUGUGUCGCCUCGGCGUUCGACGCCUGGAGAAGACGACCGAACCCGAUCGUUAGAGGAA